This 437-nucleotide ribosomal RNA is filed under the name uncultured bacterium. RNAcentral's name for it is "partial 16S ribosomal RNA". It matches the Rfam family "Bacterial small subunit ribosomal RNA", at positions 29 to 507 of the family's 1533-position model. The record is from RNAcentral.
AGCGAACGCUGGCGGCAGGCUUAACACAUGCAAGUCGAGCGGGCAUCCUUGUGGUGUCAGCGGCAGACGGGUGAGUAACGCGUGGGAACGUGCCCUUCGGUUCGGAAUAACUCAGGGAAACUUGAGCUAAUACCGGAUACGUGCGAGAGCAGAAAGGUUUAUCUGCCGAAGGAUCGGCCCGCGUCUGAUUAGCUAGUUGGUGAGGUUACGGCUCACCAAGGCGACGAUCAGUAGCUGGUCUGAGAGGAUGAUCAGCCACACUGGGACUGAGACACGGCCCAGACUCCUACGGGAGGCAGCAGUGGGGAAUAUUGGACCAUGGGGGCAACCCUGAUCCAGCCAUGCCGCGUGAGUGAUGACGGCCUUAGGGUUGUAAAGCUCUUUUCUCCGGGACGAUAAUGACGGUACCGGAGGAAUAAGCCCCGGCUAACUUCGUG